Molecule: ribosomal RNA, 555 nt
Filed under: Triticum aestivum (bread wheat)
Lineage: Eukaryota; Viridiplantae; Streptophyta; Magnoliopsida; Poales; Poaceae
Description: partial small subunit ribosomal RNA
Source: RNAcentral
AUGGUCGAAGGCUCGGAGAUGGACAUCACCAACCUCAAGUUCCUCCUUCUUUGCUUCCAACAGAUGUCGGGCCUCAAGAUCAACUUCGAUAAGAGCGAUGUUAUGGUGAUGGGAUAUUCCCCCGCUGAGUCUGUGGCCAUUGCCAACAGACUUAAUUGCCGCCUGGGCUCUUUCCCCACUACCUACCUUGGGACGCCCAUUAGUGACUCGCGCCUCUCUGUCGCAGACCUACGCCCCUCCGUGACCAAGCUCCAGACCAGAUGCGAGCCCUGGCAGGGGAGGUGGCUUUCCAAGGCGGCCCGGACUAUCCUUAUCAACUCCUCCCUCUCCAGCCUCCUCUUGUUUCUUAUGAGUUUCUACAGCCUCCAUGAAUCUCUCCAUAAGGAGAUCGCCAAAAUCCAGUCCCGAUUCUACUGGGCUGGCGAGCAUGGCAAGCAGAAGUAUCACAUGGUCAGCUGGCCUGACAUCUGCAAGCCCAGGGAGCAGGGUGGAUUGGGCAUCAUGUGCUCUAAACGGAUGAAUAUUGCCCUUCUAUCCCGGUGGCUGUGGCGUAUC